RNAcentral lists this unclassified non-coding RNA (686 nucleotides) under Hevea brasiliensis (rubber tree). Lineage: Eukaryota; Viridiplantae; Streptophyta; Magnoliopsida; Malpighiales; Euphorbiaceae. The record is from RNAcentral.
UUUGGAUGCGACACUUCUGCAGUGAUUAAUAUAUUGGCUCAUCGAGAUUCAACACAACGUAUGCUCAUUCAACAGGAGUACAAGACUAUGUACUCUGGGGACCUUCUUAAGCGUUUGUCUUCAGAGCUUAGUGGCAAAUUGGAGACAGCAGUUCUGCUUUGGAUGCAUGAUCCACCUGGGCGUGAUGCAAUAAUCGUGAAGCAGGGAUUAAGUUCGGACACAUUAAAUCUUGAAGCUGCCACUGAAGUAAUUUGUUCGCGCACCCCAUCUCAGAUACAGACAUUUAAACAACAUUACCAUGCAAAAUUUGGGGUGCACCUUGAGCAUGAUAUUGAAUCACAUGCCUCUGGGGAUCAUAAACAGCUCUUGCUUGCAUAUGUGAGUGUACCUCGCUAUGAAGGCCGGGAAUUUGAUAAUCAGAUGGCUCAGAAUGAUGCAAAGGCUCUUUAUAAAGCAGGAGAGAAGAAAUUGGGAACUGAUGAAAAGACUUUCAUCCGCAUAUUUAGUGAACGAAGUGCUGCACAUUUGGCUGCUGUAAAUUCUGCUUAUCAUAACAUGUAUGGAAACUCUCUGAAAAAGGCUGUAAAGGGUGAAACCUCGGGACAUUUCAAACAUGCUCUAUUGACAAUUUUGCAAUGCUCAGAGAAUCCUGCAAAGUACUUUGCAAAGGUGCUGCGCAAGGCAAU